RNAcentral lists this ribosomal RNA (506 nucleotides) under uncultured bacterium. Its description in RNAcentral is "partial 16S ribosomal RNA". It matches the Rfam family "Bacterial small subunit ribosomal RNA", at positions 30 to 523 of the family's 1533-position model. The record is from RNAcentral.
AUUGAACGCUGGCGGCAUGCCUAACACAUGCAAGUCGAACGGCAGCACAGUAUGUAGCAAUACAUAUGGGUGGCGAGUGGCGGACGGGUGCGUAAUAUGUAGGGAUCUGCCCUGAAGCGGGGGACAACCCGGGGAAACCCGGGCUAAUACCGCAUAAUACUCUACGGAGGAAAUCUGGCACGCAAGUGCUGGGCUUUAGGAUGAACCUACAUCCGAUUAGCUAGUUGGUGAGGUAAUAGCUCACCAAGGCAAUGAUCGGUAGCUGGUCUGAGAGGAUGACCGGCCACGCGGGGACUGAGACACGGCAAAGACUCCUACGGGAGGCAGCAGUGGGGAGUAUUGGACAAUGGGGGAAACCCUGAUCCAGCAAUGCCGCGUGGGUGAAGAAGGCCUUCGGGUUGUAAAGCCAUUUAGGCGGGGAAGAAGGUUAGAGGGUGAUAAGCCUUAUAGCUUGACGGUACCCGCAGAAUAAGCACCGGCUAACUCUGUGCCAGCCGCCGCCGUAA